Small nucleolar RNA from Patella vulgata (common limpet), 94 nucleotides. RefSeq annotates it as small nucleolar RNA SNORD70. NCBI's taxonomy places the organism in Eukaryota, Metazoa, Mollusca, Gastropoda, Patellidae. The transcript has a single exon. The record is from RefSeq and is a predicted model, not a curated record.
UGCUGAACUGUCAAUGAUGCAUUCUAUAAUUAUUGUUAUCUGAUAUCACAUGAUGUUAACAAUAUUUCGUCACUACCUCUGAGACAGUUCUGCU